UCCAACCUGGAGAUCGGUUCUGCUGAGCCCACUUGACCCACUUGAUGGUCCCAAGACUCCCACGUCGCAGGGGUCUGGAGCCGGUAGAGGGUUCUUAACAGGACUUGGAGAGAGAAGAUACAACAAGGACUUGUCAGGAUGAAAAACAAAGACGUGCCUGCUGCUGAGGUGUAUCAUUAGAAUCGACUCACGAGGGGACGACCAAAGUUCAGGGGAGCGUGUGGAGGUGAAAUCUUGCAGAGUGGGCCUUUUCCAGAACACGUGUCUUGAAUUUCUCACCCAGAGAGAAAAGAAAAAAUGAAGAGGAUCUGAAUGGCUCGUGGAUGUGGAAGAGGGUGGAGGAACAGCAAAUAAAAUCCUCUCAGAACCACUGAAGGAAUGGGAGAGUCCCAUCAUCAGAAGUCCCCUCCCCAGUUCCAGUGGAAGUUCCCUGAGGGCAGGGAACGUCUGGGUGCCUUUUGGACUUUCCCGACUGCUAAACACGGUACACCGGACUCACAAAAGGCCACAGUGCUACUCCUGUUGCUCUUCUAGGGCAGACAAAUCCACAGUCAGCACGGCUCAGUUCACCAGGUAAAGCUCUGGUGCCCAAAUAUCUAUUUCCUUUCAGAAGGAUGAGGUCCACCUGUAUGCCUUCUUGAUUGCUUUAGAGACUGCUGGGCCGAUCCCCUGGAAGACUCCCCCCAUGCCCCCGCCCCCUGAGUCUAUCAAUCAGCUCUUUGGACUAGAAGGUUUCUGGGGGCAGGGGUGGGAACCACAUUCCAUUCAAAUGGAGAGCUCCCCAUAAAGGCUUUGUAAAACAAUGACCCAUCCUGGCAAAGGCUGAGGAGAAGGCUCAACUGGUCAUCAAAUGGACACCAACGGGUUGCUGAUGGGUGGGGAAUGUCAUGGGAUUGGAAAACUGAACCUCUGAAGGUCGGCUUUUAGGCCCCUCGGGGUCACUGAGCCGGCGAACCUCUGGGAGUCGGUGUCCACCUGCAGGCCCCGCAGGAUGUUGGCAUUAGUUCACCUGGUGCUGAAAUGAGCCCUUGAAUUUGAAGGGCGCUUUGGUUUUUUCAAGUACUUUAACCUCCCUUACCCCAUUGUACCCUCCCAACAUAUCUGUGAUGUAAGCUUUACUCUCACUGAGGCCCAGUGAAGUUAGAUGUCUUGCUCAAGGCUACACAACAACGGGCUGUGACCGAGCUGGGACUAGAACCCAGAUCCCCUGAAUCCUAGGACCGGAUCCCCGAGGAUGCCUCCGGGACCGCGAGCCAUGGAGACAGCACCGGACACUCCCCUGAAGCAGCAGAGUCACGGCCUCACCGCCGUGAGGGAGAACUUUCCAGAGGGCCCCCUCAUCUCCCACUCGGCCUCCCGUCUCCUCUCCGGAGAGCAGCUCAGGGGUUUGGCGGAGGAAGAAUUCCGCCCAGAAUGAAUUUCCAGCUGACCGAGCGGGUGGCCUGUCUCGGGGCCAAGCUGGAGUCGUGCCUGCUGCGUCCAGGCCCCCGAGCCAGGCCCACCUCCAAGCCGGGCAGACUCCUUGAGGCCCCAGAGCAGUUCAGCGGGUGCCUCGGCCGGCCCAGGGUGGGGGACGGGAGCAGGGUCGAGAGCGUCUCCUCCGUCUGCGGGAGCGGGCGGCCUCGAGAAUCCCGAGAAUCGCAAAUCCAGCCAGCAGCUGAGUCCCUGCCCCCUCUCCAAGCCCCCAGGCUCCAGCUCAUCCUGAAAAACAGGGAGACAGAAAGCGGUGCAUGAAUAUAUUGUCGGGGGAGGGACCCCGGGGAGGGGGACAGAAACAAAAGAGGGGCAGAUCCCUCCCUGGACUCCUCUGGCUUCCUGAGGCCAGUCCAGGCCCCCAGGCCCCAGCUUGGGGCUGAACCUGGAGGGAGAGAAGGCUGGAGUUGUUUAUAGGUCCAUUGUUUGUUCCCAGAAACAUGAUGCAUGGUGUUUGUCAAACAUUAAUUCAAUACUAGGAGCAUUGGGCAUUUCCCAGAAAUUGGGCUGUUGUCUCAGUGAUUUACUCCCUUACAAAUCUGCCUCAGCCUCAAGGCUUAACCCUCCCUGGAUACCGACAUCAGCAAUACAAUGGCCGUCACCCAGAGAAGAAAAUGGGGAACAGGCGCCAGCCCUGAGAUCUUGGGACCUGGUUCCCCCCUGCGGAUGGGUAAAUGCCCCCUUAGAGCUCACGCCAUAGUCCUUACUCUCCCAA
This is a long non-coding RNA of Ornithorhynchus anatinus (platypus), 2188 nucleotides long. RefSeq lists it as uncharacterized. Lineage: Eukaryota; Metazoa; Chordata; Mammalia; Monotremata; Ornithorhynchidae. The transcript is spliced from 3 exons. The record is from RefSeq and is a predicted model, not a curated record.